GACGAAGGAUGCAAGCGUUAUCCGGAUUCAUUGGGCGUAAAGGGUGCGUAGGCGGCGCGGUAAGUCGGGUGUGAAAUCUCGGAGCUUAACUCCGAAACUGCAUUCGAUACUGCCGUGCUUGAGGACUGGAGAGGAGACUGGAAUUUACGGUGUAGCGGUGAAAUGCGUAGAUAUCGUAAGGAAGACCAGUGGCGAAGGCGGGUCUCUGGACAGUUCCUGACGCUGAGGCACGAAGGCCAGGGGAGCAAACGGG
RNAcentral lists this ribosomal RNA (253 nucleotides) under uncultured bacterium. Its description in RNAcentral is "partial 16S ribosomal RNA". It matches the Rfam family "Bacterial small subunit ribosomal RNA", at positions 524 to 776 of the family's 1533-position model. The record is from RNAcentral.